AAGUUAUUGUAACUCAUUUUCUUGGAGUUGAUCAUGUAGGU
Molecule: small RNA, 41 nt
Filed under: Chaetoceros neogracilis
Lineage: Eukaryota; Bacillariophyta; Thalassiosirophyceae; Chaetocerotales; Chaetocerotaceae
Description: partial Mitochondrion-encoded tmRNA
Source: RNAcentral